AUUAUUCAUAUCCGUCCUGUUUUUUGGAAAUACUAAAUAUUUAAAAAAAAUGAUAAAAAAAAAAUGUCCUCUGUUAGGUUUAUGUUUAUUCUAAUAAUUCUUUAUUAUUUCCAAGCACUCGCAGGUAAGUGUUUUUUAAUCAUUUCUUAAAUACAUUUGACUUUGUGGUUCACUUAAACAUACACAAAUAUGUAUGCGUUCGUAGCUUUCAAAUUUUCAGGUUUGAGCAUUCCUGAUGAAGGUCAAUACCAAAGCGAUUUUCGUUUUGUUUUUCUUCACAGUUCAUGUUCGCAUAGUAGUUAUUAGGAAUUUUUUUUGUCGAUGAAGUGUUGUCCUUUCAAUCUGACACACGCAUGUUUGCGAAAGAUUGAGUCAGUAUAUUCUCAUAGGAAAAUUAUGAAUAAAAAAAGGUUAAAUCAGUGUAAUCCAGCCCUGGUAAGGAUGAAAAUCUAAAGCCACAACACUGAAGUGUUUUGUCGUUACAGUAUAUUUAAAAAAAAAACCAAUGCAAACAUCCCACGUCGACAAUACAUCUAAAUAGUUGACAAGUAUUUUGUAACUAUUCAAGUUUGAAAUUACAUACUUAUAAAACAUACUUCAGUUCAGGGAUGGGGUAAUUGAAAAUGUAAUGGUAAUUAAGUGUAAUGCAUUACAAUUUUCCAUGUAAUUGAAUGUAAUGUGUAAUUGAGCAUAUUUUUAAUUACUUGUAAUGGUAAUUUAAUUAAUUACAAUGAAGAAAGCAUGUAAUGCUCAAUUACUUUUGAAUUACAUUUCAAUUACAUGUACUUUUAUGGUGUUAAUGAUAAGGAUUUAUGUUUAAUAAUACAAAUUGUAAAAGUAUAUUUAUUUUUCAAAUAUUGAUAUCACAUACUUUCUGUAAUUUAUUCUAAAGUUUUUAUAUUACUUAUUUGACCAACAGAAUUUUUUUCUGAAUAGUCUUAUGAUUUGAAAAAAUACAUAUGUUUUAAGAAGAUCUAAAUAGAUUGAAAAGAAAUAAAUCACCAUGUUAAACAAAAACAAAAAAAUGUGUGAAAAAUCUUAUAUGAGAGUUCAUUUGAAUUUAAAUUUACUGCACACAAUCAUUUUGUCAAAUUAGUAUACACAAAAGGAUUAUAAGAUAAAAAUUAACAGCUGUAAAAACAAACAGCAAUUUAUCAGAUUAAUAUGUCCAGGGGCAAUGCCACUAUUACAUGUAUUUUAUCUAAUUAGCAAAAUAUUGCUAAGAUAUAGACAUUAUAUACAUUGUUUGUACUAAAAAUUAUUUUUAAUGUUGUGACAAGCAUACCUUUUAAUAAUUAUUAAGUGAUUUUUCUUUUUAUUUAUUUAUAAUUUCUUUAUUCAUGCUAUGUUUUAUUUAAAUAACUUCAUUUCUGAGAUGUCAAAAUACCCCUUAAUGUAUUGGCAAGUUAAUAGGAACUAAUUUUACUCUUCUAUCAACACAUCUACUGAUUAUGGAAGUAUAAUACCUCCAUGUUCUAAUCAAGCGAUAUAUGCCACAUUAGCUCCUAUAGAAAUACUUUUGAGAAUGGCUGUCAAAGUGUACAGACCAGAGAGAUGCAGACUAAAUGACAAAACAUUAAAAUUACUCAUGAUUAUCAAAUGCAACGCUUAAACUAUGUUUACAUGAAUAUUUUACACAUACAUUAUACAUACAUGUAUAAUAUUGGUUAACAAAUAUUAUGAUGAAAUGUAAUGUGUAAUUUAAUUAAUACUUUAGUAAAGUAAUUGUAAUUUAAUUAAUUACAUUUCAAAAAUUGUGUAAUGUGUAAUUAGUGUAAUUGACCAUUUUUGCAAUGUAAUGUGUAAUUUAAUUAAUAACAUUCCAAUGUAAUUGACCCCAAGUCUGCUUUAAUUCAAGAAUAAUUCAAAACUUUGAAAAUUAACAAAAUUGAUCAUAACUUGAUUUUAUUAUUAUUUGAAAUUUAUCAUUUAGAUGGUUUUGAGAAACCUUUAUCAUGGGAGGAAGCAAGACGCGAAUGUAGGAGACUGAAUAAAAUAUUGUCACCUUUGAAGUCAGUCCGACGAAAUUUAGACACUCAUUUCAGGUCUAUUCGAUCAGUAUGGACAUCAAAUUAUGGUCUAAAUUUAGGAUGCAAUAUAUCUACAGGUAAGGAAAUAAAGAUUUAUGUUGAAAGAUACAAUAACGUGUUCUAUUAUUUUAUUUGCAUUUGUAAAUUAUUGCUGGUACAGUUUAGUCUAUAUUUGGAAAUAUACAUUUGACGUGGCUCGAUAUUUAUACAUCUCGUCAUUAUAUUUUUGUGCAACAGUAAAUUUUUGUAUUCUUGUCUCUCGUUUUUGCUUAUGUGGUUGGUCUAUAUUCUUUUUUUUUUCCUUGUUGACAUAUUUGUUUGUUUUUAUAGUGAUUAAAAUUAUAGCACAAUGUUGCUUGCUAUACCCCUAUUUUAGACAUUUUUACCUUUUACAUUUAUUUGUUUUGUUCGCACAUCGUUGUCAAUAUAAUGAAAAUGGAUUCGACUGCCACAAGUGAGAGGUUUAACUAACUAUAUAUACACCAGGUUUAAUCCACUAUAUUCUACCUAAAUAAAACAUGAACCAAGUACUAAGUCAGGAGUAUAACAGUUGUUAUCCAUUUGUCUGAUGAGUUUGAGCUUUUGAUUUUGUCAUUUGAUUAGGGUUUUCCGUAUUGAAUUUUACUCAGAGUUUUUGGCAUUUUUGCUAUGAUUUCACUUUUGAACAUUUCUUAUCAACUGAUAACUGCCUUUGACGAAAACGGGUUUUUUGUUAUACCUUAGAAGAAAACGUUACAGAGUAACUAUAAAACAGUACGUACAAUAAAUAUCAUGCUGUGAGUUUUUAUUUUCUCCGUUUACUUGUCAACAUAAAAUGUCUUUUUACUGUUAAAAAGGUAUUUGCUAAAUUACAAUGUAUGCACAAUUUCUGUUUUGAAUUGCUAAUUGUUUUCUUUAUAACAGGUUUCUGUGAUAUUUUAUACAUUGAGCAAAUUCCGAAGAGCGAACAUUAUGAAGGGUUGUGUGAGAAUGGUUGGUAUAUAUUGAAAUAGGAUAUACAUUUUAUGUAGAAUAUAAAAUAAAGCGUGUUUCAUAAAAUAUGUUUAAUUUAAGUUGAAUUUUGCAAGUCUAUACACUUGAAUAUCUUAUUUCUUCUAAAUAGUUACACUCCAAAUUAAUAUUGAUGCAAUUCUAUUUUUUUUGCUACGUAUUCUGCCUUCACAUUCGAAAGCACAAAUGACCCAACUAAUAAUCUAGGAUAUCUUUGCUGAGUUAUUUGGUGGUUUUUACAACGACCAAAUGGUGCCCCCGCUGUUGGACGUUUCCAUUCCCGAUAAUAUCACAACCCCAGUAGUUAUGACUUCUGUGUUGACAUGAAACACCAUCGAUACAAUAAUUGUCUGUAAUUUGACUUGUUAUAGAAUGAAGUUAUUUGAAACAAUAAAAUUUAACCUUCGGCAUAACAUAUGUAUUUGGUGAAACUUUUUCGCAAUUUUGUUUUUAGUAUUUUUAGUAUUUGUGUUAUAAAUGGCCUUCAUUAUUAGUUAUUAUCCAUUAUUUUGUUUAUUAUUCUGCCAACAUAAACCCGACGUCAAUUAAAAUUUCGCUCAUUUCCCAAAAUAAACCUUGCAUCCACACUUAUUUAAUUCAUUGCCACAGUCAUGAAGCAAACAUAGAAAGAAAUCUAACAGAUAUACACAUCAAAACUUGGUAUGCACAUAUAUUCAGUCAUGGACUAUACUUUUUUAACAGAUUUCCCAGUCACCGUAUCUUCAAAAUAUUUUCAAAUUGGAUCCAACAAUACCUUUAAAGGAACAUGCAAAAGGGGUAUUCCUGUUGACUUAUUCGAUAUGACGGAACUUGGUCACGCAAUAAAAGAAAUGGAAGUCAAUACAAACUACUGGAUUAAUUCUACGAAUAUUGGUAC
RNAcentral lists this long non-coding RNA (3897 nucleotides) under Mytilus galloprovincialis (Mediterranean mussel). The record is from RNAcentral. Lineage: Eukaryota; Metazoa; Mollusca; Bivalvia; Mytilida; Mytilidae.